RNAcentral lists this ribosomal RNA (710 nucleotides) under Acinetobacter sp. RNAcentral describes it as "bacterial SSU rRNA". It matches the Rfam family "Bacterial small subunit ribosomal RNA", at positions 53 to 755 of the family's 1533-position model. The record is from RNAcentral. Lineage: Bacteria; Pseudomonadati; Pseudomonadota; Gammaproteobacteria; Moraxellales; Moraxellaceae.
ACCAUGCAGUCGAGCGGGGGAGAUUGCUUCGGUAAUUGACCUAGCGGCGGACGGGUGAGUAAUACUUAGGAAUCUGCCUAUUAAUGGGGGACAACAUCUCGAAAGGGAUGCUAAUACCGCAUACGCCCUACGGGGGAAAGCAGGGGAUCACUUGUGACCUUGCGUUAAUAGAUGAGCCUAAGUCGGAUUAGCUAGUUGGUGGGGUAAAGGCCUACCAAGGCGACGAUCUGUAGCGGGUCUGAGAGGAUGAUCCGCCACACUGGGACUGAGACACGGCCCAGACUCCUACGGGAGGCAGCAGUGGGGAAUAUUGGACAAUGGGGGGAACCCUGAUCCAGCCAUGCCGCGUGUGUGAAGAAGGCCUUAUGGUUGUAAAGCACUUUAAGCGAGGAGGAGGCUCUCUUGGUUAAUACCCAAGAUGAGUGGACGUUACUCGCAGAAUAAGCACCGGCUAACUCUGUGCCAGCAGCCGCGGUAAUACAGAGGGUGCGAGCGUUAAUCGGAUUUACUGGGCGUAAAGCGUGCGUAGGCGGCUUUUUAAGUCGGAUGUGAAAUCCCCGAGCUUAACUUGGGAAUUGCAUUCGAUACUGGGAAGCUAGAGUAUGGGAGAGGAUGGUAGAAUUCCAGGUGUAGCGGUGAAAUGCGUAGAGAUCUGGAGGAAUACCGAUGGCGAAGGCAGCCAUCUGGCCUAAUACUGACGCUGAGGUACG